RNAcentral lists this ribosomal RNA (492 nucleotides) under uncultured bacterium. Its description in RNAcentral is "partial 16S ribosomal RNA". It matches the Rfam family "Bacterial small subunit ribosomal RNA", at positions 29 to 507 of the family's 1533-position model. The record is from RNAcentral.
AGUGAACGCUGGCGGUAGGCCUAACACAUGCAAGUCGAACGGCAGCACAGUAAGAGCUUGCUCUUACGGGUGGCGAGUGGCGGACGGGUGAGGAAUACAUCGGAAUCUACUUUUUCGUGGGGGAUAACGUAGGGAAACUUACGCUAAUACCGCAUACGACCUACGGGUGAAAGCAGGGGAUCUUCGGACCUUGCGCGAUUGAAUGAGCCGAUGUCGGAUUAGCUAGUUGGCGGGGUAAAGGCCCACCAAGGCGACGAUCCGUAGCUGGUCUGAGAGGAUGAUCAGCCACACUGGAACUGAGACACGGUCCAGACGCCUACGGGAGGUAGCAGUGGGGAAUAUUGGACAAUGGGCGCAAGCCUGAUCCAGCCAUACCGCGUGGGUGAAGAAGGCCUUCGGGUUGUAAAGCCCUUUUGUUGGGAAAGAAAAGCAGCAGGUUAAUACCCCGCUGUUCUGACGGUACCCAAAGAAUAAGCACCGGCUAACUUCGUG